RNAcentral lists this ribosomal RNA (425 nucleotides) under uncultured bacterium. RNAcentral's name for it is "partial 16S ribosomal RNA". It matches the Rfam family "Bacterial small subunit ribosomal RNA", at positions 354 to 796 of the family's 1533-position model. The record is from RNAcentral.
GUGGGGAAUAUUGGACAAUGGGCGCAAGCCUGAUCCAGCCAUGCCUCGUGAGUGAUGAAGGCCCUAGGGUUGUAAAGCUCUUUCAGUGGGGACGAUAAUGACGGUACCCACAGAAGAAGCCCCGGCUAACUUCGUGCCAGCAGCCGCGGUAAUACGAAGGGGGCUAGCGUUGUUCGGAUUUACUGGGCGUAAAGCGCACGUAGGCGGAUCGUUAAGUCGAGGGUGAAAUCCUGGAGCUCAACUCCAGAACUGCCUUCAAUACUGGCGAUCUUGAGUCCGGAAGAGGUGAGUGCAACUCCUAGUGUAGAGGUGGAAUUCGUAGAUAUUAGGAAGAACACCAGUGGCGAAGGCGGCUCACUGGUCCGGUACUGACGCUGAGGUGCGAAAGCGUGGGGAGCAAACAGGAUUAGAAACCCCAGUAGUCC